This 62-nucleotide transfer RNA is filed under the name Bothrops diporus. RNAcentral describes it as "tRNA-Lys". The record is from RNAcentral. Lineage: Eukaryota; Metazoa; Chordata; Lepidosauria; Squamata; Viperidae. RNAcentral also lists the same sequence under 1 other name.
CACUAAGAAGCUUAUAUAGCAUCAGCCUUUUAAGUUGAAGAAGAAAACCUUUUCCUUGGUGG